ACCCCUACGGGGGGCAGCAGGGGGGAAUAUUGGGCAAUGGGCGCAAGCCUGACCCAGCAAUGCCGCGUGAAGGAAGAAGGCCUUCGGGUUGUAAACUUCUUUUAUCAGGGACGAAGGAUGUGACGGUACCUGAUGAAUAAGCUCCGGCUAACUACGUGCCAGCAGCCGCGGUAAUACGUAGGGAGCAAGCGUUAUCCGGAUUUACUGGGUGUAAAGGGCGCGUAGGCGGGGUGGCAAGUCAGAUGUGAAAUCCAAGGGCUGAACCCUUGAACUGCAUUUGAAACUGUGGUUCUUGAAUACUGGAG
This 305-nucleotide ribosomal RNA is filed under the name uncultured bacterium. Its description in RNAcentral is "bacterial SSU rRNA". It matches the Rfam family "Bacterial small subunit ribosomal RNA", at positions 335 to 654 of the family's 1533-position model. The record is from RNAcentral.